AGGGUGCAAAUGUUGUUCAGGAUGUUAAGAACGAUCAAUACUCUGCUAGAAAGUUUAUUUUCAGCGUUGUUGAGACCUGGCAAUCCUUCAGCUGCUGAUCACUAUAGAUGACAGAUGAAAAGAAAAUGCAGAUGGCAUCUCCCUUCACAGAACUGGAAUGCUACAUCAUUAUUUUUUCUCUGCUAGUCUUUAGCCUGUUUACGCUGCAUGGCAUGAUACACGAGCGAUGCCCAUCUCCAGCAGUGAAAGUAAGCGAAGAACGUCAAGACCAACUCAUAGUCUGAAUCUAAACCUCUUUAGGAAUGAAAGCUACACCAACAGACUUUGGAUAAAUGCACUUGUAAAACUCGAUUUGGAUCCUGGAGAGCAUAGCAGAGCUUUGCUUGUGUGUUGGAACGUGUUGGGAUUUCUUAUGGCAUUUACAGAAACGGAAAGUUCAGGGACUUGCUCCAGGUUCACUUGUUGCACUUUAUAACCAUCAAUAGAGACUGAUAGUGAGUAUGUGACUUUAUUUGUCUAAAGGGCAAGUCUUACAGAUGUUAGGGAAUGAAAGGUGUGUGAAUGUAAUGUGCUGACGUGGUUUGUUAAGCCUCAAACACUUUGGGAAGAAGUGUAUAGCGUUUGUAAAACACAUUUUUAACACACAUUUGCACUCUCAAAGAUGACUGGAGACUUUUAAUUCUAAAGAGCGUUAUGGAUAUUCCAUUCUCAGGCUUAGAGCUGGUUUUCACCGUCUUAGCCUUCACUGUAUUCUGUGUGUUUGGCCUGGCUGCUGUCUUUACAUGCAGCCAGCACACUGACAACCAAGGUGAAAUAAUUUUGCUAGAGCAGAAAACAAGCCAUCAUACGAGCAGACUUAAAAGGAAACAGGAAUUCCAACCAUCAAAAAAGUAACCUCCAUAAACCCUUUAGAAUUUAUGGACCUGAUGAAUGAAUCCCAUUGAACAACAUUGUUACAGCAUUAUGUCGAAAUACAAUAAGAUUUCACUGCUGGGUUGGGAGCAAUUCACCAAACCAAAAUAUCCACCUAAUCCGACCUGCUCUCAAAAACUGACCACUGAUUAAAGGCUAGAAUGUGUGAUUGAUGCACUUUACUGGUACAAAUACCAGCAAAGUAUAUUGUCUAUAAAUUUACCAGCAGGUAUACACAAUUGUGAAAUACAUCGCUGAUACACUUAAAUAAGCACAAAACACAUUUUAUGCCACUACAGUGUCACUGCUCAGCUGAGAUUGGUCCUUCGCCCAAAUUCCCUCUUGGGCAACAUUGUUCCUAUGGUGGAAAAGAAAAAAUAAGUGAUUGUAUAAGAGAGGAGGUUAGGAGUGAAUAAAAUGUAAGCAGAAGUGCAUGCAGUGGGGUGUGUAUUUGUUAUCUGUUACGGUUAUAUUUUAAUUACAGAGAAACUCUGGUCUAAAUAAUGUGCAGCUGUUUUAACGCUAAUACAUAACCCUUUCACAAUUUUAGCUACAUUUAUUUUAUUAUUAUAUCAAAUCUGCACUGUACAUUAUUUCUAUUUAAAUGUGAUGUGUCAAUAAAUUAACCAAUAUGCCAAAAAAAAAAAACCCACCCAAAAUUUACAUUUUAUUUCUGCAUUGAGGCGAAUAUACUGCCCUCUGCUGGCAUUUACUUCAUUAUGUUCAGAAUUAGUGUACACACACACACAUUUUGCAUCCAGUGAACAAAGAUUUUAGAGUUUAUUUAAUCCAUUAAUAAAGAACUAUUUUAUAAUUUAUUUAUCAUUGUUAUUAUGGUUAUUUAUUUUGACAGUUUUUAGACAUUUGCAACUGGAUCACCAGCUCAAUGGAUACAUAGCUGUACUCUAAA
Long non-coding RNA from Silurus meridionalis, 1822 nucleotides. RefSeq lists it as uncharacterized. The transcript has 5 exons. Lineage: Eukaryota; Metazoa; Chordata; Actinopteri; Siluriformes; Siluridae. The record is from RefSeq and is a predicted model, not a curated record.